Molecule: transfer RNA, 67 nt
Filed under: Marmota monax (woodchuck)
Lineage: Eukaryota; Metazoa; Chordata; Mammalia; Rodentia; Sciuridae
Description: tRNA.Ala
Source: RNAcentral
GGUUGUGGCUCAGUGGUAGAACGCUUGCUUAGCAUGUGUGAGGCACUAGGUUCUAUCCCUGGGACCA